Molecule: ribosomal RNA, 3075 nt
Filed under: bacterium
Lineage: Bacteria
Description: bacterial SSU rRNA
Rfam family: Bacterial small subunit ribosomal RNA
Source: RNAcentral
AUAAAUGAGAGUUUGAUCCUAGCUCAGGAUGAACGCUGGCGGCGUGGAUAAGGCAUGCAAGUCGAGGGACACCUUCGGGUGGACCGGCAGACGAGGUAGUAACACGUAGGAACGUACCCUUAAGUCAGGGAUAGCCCGGAGAAAUCCGGAGUAAUACUUGAUAGUCUCUUCGGAGUAAAGAUUUAUCGCUUAAGGAGCGGCCUGCGGGAUAUCAGCUUGUUGGUAGUGUAAUGGACUACCAAGGCUAUGACGUCUAGGGGAGGUGAGAGCCUGACCCCCACCGAUGGGACUGAGAUACGGCCCAUACUCCUACGGGAGGCCGCAGUCGAGAAUCUUCCACAAUGGACGAAAGUCUGAUGGAGCGACGCCGCGUGGUGGAUGAAGUCUUUCGGGAUGUAAACACCUUUUAUGAGGGAGAAAUCCGGUUUUUCCGGUGUGAUGGUACCUCAUGAAUAAGGGGUUGCUAAACUCGUAAACCGAGUAUUAGCAAUACUUAUACCAUCCCCAACUAACCAUUUCACAUCUUGCCGCACAUUUUUGCUACAAAACUUCGUCUCGCGCUCUUUUUAUCUCGAUAAAGCUCGCGCUCCGACUUGUUUUUCGCUCGAAAUGUGUGGCAAGAUUAUUGUGAAAGCGUUAAUUGGGGAGGGUAUUAAAACAGCAUUAAAAACUCGUAUUUACCUGGUGCGACUAUGCGUAGUAAUGCGCAUAGCAAAUUCGGCUCAUAUGCUGGAAGCCCAUAGAGAGCUGCGUUCAAUUAGCAAUAAUUGAAUUCUCUAUGGAGAAUCAGCAGGGAAGUCCUCUCGUAUCUUUUGAUACUGAUGACCCCUCAGAGACUGAUCCAACGAAAGUUGGUGAGAUAAGAAACUUUUUAGUUCUUAUAAUACGCCGGACACCCCUAUAUUUCGUAUGGGGGUGGUGGGAUAGUCCAUCUUUCUUUUAAGUAAGAAGGCCAGCAGCAGCGGUAAUACGAGUGCCCCAAGCGUUAUCCGGAAUCAUUGGGCGUAAAGGAUGUGUAGGCGGUAUUAUUAGUCUUUUGUUAAAAACCCGGGCUUAACCCGGGCGGUGCGAAAGAAACGGUAAUACUAGAAGAUAGGAGAGGUGAGCGGAACUUACGGUGUAGGGGUGAAAUCCGUUAAUAUCGUAGGGAACACCAAAGGCGAAGGCAGCUCACUGGCCUAAUCUUGACGCUGAGACAUGAAAGCGUGGGUAGCGAAUGGGAUCAAUCUGGUCCCCUCCAAUAGUGAUAUUGGAGAGUAAAUUUGGCUGUAUGCUGGAAUACCCGAGUAUCUGACACUACUUUAGUGAUAUACUAAAGUGAUAAUGUGUUCAGUGCGGACAAUCAGCAGGAAACCUUUUUAAGGGAUCCUCAGAGACUAUACGCCGAAUAUCUCGCACGUGGUGAGAUAAUGAUAUAGUCCGACCUCCAUGGCGACAUGGAGAAUCAAUUGCUUGUAUUGGGGGCAAUUGAUCAAUGGCGAUAGUAAUAUCGUCUCGUAACAAAAUGUAGAUACCCCAGUAGUCCAUGCCCUAAACGAUGUUCACUCGCCUUUCGGAGUAUCGACCCUCUGAGAGGCCAAGCUAACGCGUUAAGUGAACCGCCUGGGAAUUACGAUCGCAAGAUUAAAACUCAAAGGAAUAGACGGGGGCUCGCACAAGCGGUGGAUCAUGUGGUUUAAUUCGAUGCUAAACGAAGAACCUCACCAGGGCUAGACAUUGAGACGACGUGUUUGGGAAACCAAACACUCCUUAUUAAGGCGGCUCAACAGGUGUUGCAUGGCUGUCGUCAGUUCGUGGUUUGAACAAUAUCGGACCCUUCUCGAGAGAUCGAGAUGUAAAAUCCAGCUCAUAACGAGGAAACCCUAAUGCAUUGAUGGUAUAAUUGAUGCAUGGGCAAUCUCGUGGGAAGUUUGGAAGUUCCAAUGGUACUAAAUGCGAGAAAGCGUUUAAUUCUCUCUAUGUCGCCUCGACAAAGAGAUAUUCUUAUUGGUUGUAUUUUGGGAGACGCGUAUAUUGCCCGCGAGGGGAAAAUUCGCAUUGAACAAUCUACAAAACAAAAAGAAUAUCUUGAAUGGAAAUAUAAAGAACUAAGAUCUUUAUGUUAUCAAGGUGGACCUCGAGAAAUUACACACAUUUAUCGCGAAAAAGAAUAUCAAUCUAUAUUCUUUCUUCUAAGGCAAUACUUUCGUCCAUGGCGUGAAAUAUUCUAUCGGGAUAAGGAAAAGAUCUUUCCAAAGGAUCUUAAGCUUUCUCCGAUGGUUCUCGCGGUGUGGUAUAUGGACGAUGGUUCUUGGACAGGUAAGAAAAUACUCCUUUCGACCGAAAGUUUUAAAGGAGUAUCUAUGGAUUAUAUUCAAAGCUCGUUUUUGUCUCAUUUUGAUAUUGAGACUAUUGCGAGUAGUAAUGGGAAACUAGUUAUACGAAAGCAGUCACAUAAGAAAUUUUGUGAUUUAGUUGCUCCGCAUAUAGUUCCCAGUAUGUACUAUAAACUUCCAUAACCCCGUAACGACUUCUCUGAAUUCAGAGAGAGUUGAGGUAAUAUACCUCAGCUAAAACGCUGGCUCCUCCUCUGUUUAUACAAAACAGAAAGGAUGAAGGUAUAGUCUAAUUUCUAAAGAAAUUUAGAAUAGUAAUGGAAUUGUUCCCUUAAGUGGGGUAACGAACGCAACCCUUACCGUAUGUUUUACGUGUCAUACGGGACUACCCAGCUUGCCUGGGAGGAAGUGAGGAUGACGCCAAGUCAGCAUGACCCUAGAUGCCCUGGGCUACACACAUGAUACAAUGGGUGGUACAAAGAGACGCAAUGGGGCGACCCGGAGCAAACCUCUAAAGCCAUCCUCAGUUCGGAUUGGAGGCUGCAACUCGACUCCAUGAAGCUGGAAUCGCUAGUAAUCGCAGGUCAGCUAUACUGCGGUGAAUACGUUCCCGAGCCUUGUACUCACCGCCCGUCAAACCAGGGAAGCCGGGAGUACCCGAAGUCUCUACGUUUGCGUAGGGCCUAAGGUAAAUUCGGUAACAAGGGUUAAGUCGUAACAAGGCAUGGCUAGCGGAAGCUGGUCAUGGAACAAUUCACUU